CGGGGUGUAGCGCAGUUGGUUAGCGCGCCUGCUUUGGGAGCAGGAGGUCCCAAGUUCGAAUCCUGGUACCCCGA
Molecule: transfer RNA, 74 nt
Filed under: Bacteroidales bacterium
Lineage: Bacteria; Pseudomonadati; Bacteroidota; Bacteroidia; Bacteroidales
Also listed under: 4 other names
Description: tRNA-Pro
Rfam family: tRNA
About the family: Transfer RNA (tRNA) molecules are approximately 80 nucleotides in length. Their secondary structure includes four short double-helical elements and three loops (D, anti-codon, and T loops). Further hydrogen bonds mediate the characteristic L-shaped molecular structure. tRNAs have two regions of fundamental functional importance: the anti-codon, which is responsible for specific mRNA codon recognition, and the 3' end, to which the tRNAs corresponding amino acid is attached (by aminoacyl-tRNA synthetases). tRNAs cope with the degeneracy of the genetic code in two manners: having more than one tRNA (with a specific anti-codon) for a particular amino acid; and 'wobble' base-pairing, i.e. permitting non-standard base-pairing at the 3rd anti-codon position.
Source: RNAcentral